CCUACGGGAGGCUGCAGUGGGGAAUAUCGCACAAUGGGCGCAAGCCUGAUGCAGCCAUGCCGCGUGUGUGAAGAAGGCCUUCGGGUUGUAAAGCACUUUCAGCGGGGAGGAAGGCGUUAAGGUUAAUAACCUUGUCGAUUGACGUUACCCGCAGAAGAAGCACCGGCUAACUCCGUGCCAGCAGCCGCGGUAAUACGGAGGGUGCAAGCGUUAAUCGGAAUUACUGGGCGUAAAGCGCACGCAGGCGGUCUGUCAAGUCGGAUGUGAAAUCCCCGGGCUCAACCUGGGAACUGCAUUCGAAACUGGCAGGCUAGAGUCUUGUAGAGGGGGGUAGAAUUCCAGGUGUAGCGGUGAAAUGCGUAGAGAUCUGGAGGAAUACCGGUGGCGAAGGCGGCCCCCUGGACAAAGACUGACGCUCAGGUGCGAAAGCGUGGGGAGCAAACAGGAUUAGAUACCCGGGUAGUC
This 465-nucleotide ribosomal RNA is filed under the name uncultured Klebsiella sp. RNAcentral's name for it is "bacterial SSU rRNA". It matches the Rfam family "Bacterial small subunit ribosomal RNA", at positions 338 to 795 of the family's 1533-position model. The record is from RNAcentral. Lineage: Bacteria; Pseudomonadati; Pseudomonadota; Gammaproteobacteria; Enterobacterales; Enterobacteriaceae.